ACUCCUACGGGAGGCAGCAGUGGGGAAUAUUGGACAAUGGGGGCAACCCUGAUCCAGCCAUGCCGCGUGUGUGAAGAAUGCCCUCGGGUUGUAAAGCACUUUCAGCGAGGAAGAACGCCUGUCGGUUAAUACCCGGCAGGAAAGACAUCACUCGCAGAAGAAGCACCGGCUAACUCCGUGCCAGCAGCCGCGGUAAUACGGAGGGUGCAAGCGUUAAUCGGAAUUACUGGGCGUAAAGCGCGCGUAGGUGGCUUGAUAAGCCGGUUGUGAAAGCCCCGGGCUCAACCUGGGAACGGCAUCCGGAACUGUCAGGCUAGAGUACAGGAGAGGAAGGUAGAAUUCCCGGUGUAGCGGUGAAAUGCGUAGAGAUCGGGAGGAAUACCAGUGGCGAAGGCGGCCUUCUGGACUGAUACUGACACUGAGGUGCGAAAGCGUGGGUAGCAAACAGGAUUAGAUACCCUGGUAGUCCACGCCGUAAACGAUGUCGACCAGCCGUUGGGUGCCUAGAGCACUUUGUGGCGAAGUUAACGCGAUAAGUCGACCGCCUGGGGAGUACGGCCGCAAGGUUAAAACUCAAAGGAAUUGACGG
Molecule: ribosomal RNA, 589 nt
Filed under: uncultured bacterium
Lineage: Bacteria
Description: bacterial SSU rRNA
Rfam family: Bacterial small subunit ribosomal RNA
Source: RNAcentral